UCCGUCCCCAAUCCCCCAAACCUCUGUCGCUGGGUCUCCGGCGAGCUCUCCGGCCAUGGCCAACCUGAGAGCCAACGCCAGCACUGGCCAUCUCCGCGUCUACGGUACGUCGCUGUCUGAUGAUGGCGCCCUGCCGCGGGAGGAGAGGGAGCAGGACACAUCACUCCUCCUCCGCAAGAUCGAGCUCCACCGUGACGAAGCCGUCAAGCUGCUCGCCUCGCACCCCGAUCUGCUACGGUUCCUCGAUGCGGCGACCUCCGUCGGCCUGCUCGACCCGGUCUCCAACAUAGUCGUCAGCGCCAUGCUUGCCGCCGCCGCAGAUCCCGUCGACGGGGCCUCGGCGCUCGUCGGCGUCGACAAGGACAUGAAGCAGCGCUCCCUCGAUGGCCUCGUCGCCUUCCUCACAUGCUUCUUCCCUCACCUCAUCGACUGGGAGGCCGUCAGGUACCUUGUCCUCGCCCAAGCCGACCCCCUCGUUGCGGCGCGCAUCGUCGUCGAGGACCGCCGCACCAAGUGCUUCCGCCCAGGCUCCGCGGCCACCAACGGCGCCCUCAAGCUCGCUCUAAAGUGCGCAAUGGUGGCCGCCAAGCAUCCGUGUCCCUCCGAGCUCGCAGGCGUUUGGCUGUCCUUGUGCUCCUCCCUUGAUACCCUCGAGAAGGCCGUCUCCUUGCUCUCGGCGGUGCGGCCCAAUUCCCCCGGCGACAUCCUCCACACUCUGGCCAAGCAGAUGCCAGUUGUCCCUUGUCCUGCUCCUGAUGCCAUUGGCAGCAGCCUCAUCAGGCCAUGGGAGCUUGCUGCCCGUCGCAGUAAGCACGCUGCCAAGGUGACCCAUCAGUAUUCCUGGUCACUGAGGCGAGUGCUCCUACAUACGAUCCAUGGUUUCUACCUGCAGGCACUCGCCAGGAUGCCGGGCGGCGAGCUGCGGUCUCGUUACCACCGUAGCAUGCUCAAGGCUGGCCAUUGCUACGGCCCUUUUGAUCCUGUCACCAACAUCAUCGUCAACACCAUCUGGUACGAAGCCACAUUCCCACCACUGAGUCAACUGGACGAGCUCGACAUUCUCGGCACCUUGAACCUGAUGCGGAUUGAAGCACAAUCCUUCUACGGACUUGUCUCUUUCCUCUGCACCCAUGACAAAGAUCUCAACGCCGAUCAGGCCAUAAGGUUCCUGCUCGACACGGAUCUCAACUUGGCCGCGACAAAGCAGUGCAGCAGUGUCCAGGAAGAACAAGAAGCCUUCAGGGCUGCUGCAACUGCGGCAUGGCACCCCAGACCUGAUGCCCAAGCAGCAUUCCUCAGCUCUUGCAAGACGCCUGCUGUCCUGUCACUGCUGUCAGAUAAUGGGGGCCAACAACAGCUCUCUUCUCAGUGUGUCCACCAGCUUGCCAUGCUAUUGUCACCUGCUUUUCGUUCCACUGGCAUGUUAGCCCAGCAGAAGCGACCAGUUGCCAUUUAUGAACGACGGUUCCAUCUUACCAUGGACGAGGGACACAUACAGCGAAGGGCUCGUAGAAGAAUCUCCAGAAAGGUCAAGGCUGCACUAAGCAGAUAUGAGGUGCAGAAUUCAGAACAAGCCUGUCAUCAGCUUCUUGUGGUCUGCGGUGUGAAUACAUAUGUGUCUGGUCCUGACGAGAGUAUGCACUCCAUCAUGAUGCAAAAGAAAAAAGAUCCUGUUGAAGAUGACUACUACCAUCACACACAUGCCAACUUUCUGGUGACCCGGAAUGUUGGCUCUGUAGGUUCAGUUCCAGUACUCUUCUUUGCUGAGCUUAGCAACAAGAACGACGACCAGGAUAGCCAGCUUCUAUGCUGCCCUGUGGAGUUUCCACUACCUGGGGCUGAACCAGUGCGCUGCCUUUUCUGCGAGCAAGAAGGGAUCAGGAUUGUACACCCUGCUAGUGGGGAGGGAUUCCAUGGGCACCAGGUGGAGUUUGUGAAGAUGGUUCGCGGCGAAGAUUUAUUCGAAAAUGUCGACUAUCCAGAGGAGUAUGACAAUGAUCGCAUACUAACUAAAAGUGAAUAUGUUACAAACACUGUGGCCGAUGGAUUCGACGAGGACUGCAUGUACCUUGGUAGCGAUGACUUCACCAUCAAGGAAUCCGACGGUCAUGAAUCGGAUUAUUAUGGAGAGGAGUAGUAUAUACAGUGACGGUCUUCUGAAAGGAGGUGAUAAAACCAAGCUUGAGGAAGCGGUCAAUCAGUUGAUGGCGAUGGCGAUGGUGACGUCGCUUGCUGGUAAGAUACUUGAUGCUCCGGCUGGAGCCGACAGGGUGCCUGGAGCUGGUGAUCAAGGAGUCUUGCAUGUUGCUGAUGCCUGAAGCUGUGCUGUGGUAGCAGGUUUUCGCCCCGUGGGAGUGCUUCGAUGCCGAUCACUCAGAGCGUGUUUCCCCCAACUUGCUACCUCUCUUUUCCAGCUUGUUGCUCUUGUACGAACUAAAUAUACAGGUUGAGCGAUUAAUGGAAAGGGG
Triticum aestivum (bread wheat) is the source of this 2468-nucleotide RNA transcript. RefSeq lists it as uncharacterized. The transcript has 5 exons. The record is from RefSeq and is a predicted model, not a curated record. NCBI's taxonomy places the organism in Eukaryota, Viridiplantae, Streptophyta, Magnoliopsida, Poales, Poaceae.